CUGACACAUACAGACAGAAAGUAGAAUAGUCGUGGUCAGAGGCUGGGUAAUUGGAGAACAGAUAAUAAUUGCUACCUGGGCAUGGGCUUCUCUUUUGCAGUGAUGAGAACGUUUUGUGAUCAGGCAGGAGUGGUGGUUGCAUGAUUUUGUGAGUAUGUGAAAGACCACGGAAUUACGCACUUUAAAACUCCAUAAAGAAAUUCUCAGCUGUGCAUGGUAGCACAUGCCUGUAAUUCCGGCACUCUGGGAGGCUGAAGCAGGAGGAUCAAAGUUCAAGUGCUCCCUGGCAACUCAGCAAGUUAGAGAGAUCCCAUCUAAAAUAAAAAAUAUGGUAAUUCAAGGACUGGCGAUGUAGGUCAGUACAAAGGCCCUGGGUUCAACCCUCAGUACCACAGAAAGAAAAAGAAGAAAAAAAGAUUAUUUGACCUACUCCUGUCAGAUCACAGGCCCUUCUCAUUCUAAAGAAGUCCUGCCUUGUAUCCUGGAGGAAGGAAAGCUACAUAGGAGGCCCAAAAUAACAAAAGGCCUUGUUGGACUUCCCCACUCAUUCCAUGGACAACCAUAUCUAUGCAAUGAAGUCUACAUGUAAUCCCAAAAAGAACAGUACUUCUUUCCUUAUCUCUGGGACAGCAGGGCCUACAAGAGGAUUACAGAGUUGCAAGGUGGCAGAGUGGGAGGCAGCAGAGAAAGAAUCUCUCUGACUGCUGCCAUCCAGAUACUGGAAUAUAGCAACAUAGGGAAGACAAGAAGGAGGGAAGUGGGUCUCCAGGAUCCAGGAAGGAACUGAGGUGUGAAUUGAAGACCACAGAGAGAGUGAAGAGAGAAAUUUCAAUGAAGAAGGAGGUACCCAAGGGUACGUUCUCUCUGAGACAGGAUGUCCUGCAUGAGAGGUGAAAUUCAGACCUGUAGAUACAUGGCAAGUGCUGGUGAUCCCAAAGGCCUCCACGAAGAGUCGAAGCAGUGAGGCAGAGCAGUGGACCUGAAGGACUGCAUUAAACUGACAGUGAGUGCGGAGGGCUCAGUCUUUUCACGUGAGAGCGACUGGCCGGGAAUCAUUUUGGAGAGGGGCAGGCCAAGUCACUGCUGGCUCCAGCCAGUGGCUCCCAGCUGGGCUCAGGCCCACAGAAGGUACACUGAUGACUACAGGCUGCCAGAAGGUGGAGGCUCACUGAGAUUAUUCACUACGUGCCAAAAAGCUACUGCAGGCUUGCUGGGAUAAGUCAAUAUGGAUCACGACUCUGUCACCAUAUGCUGUCUACCAGUGACAGCAGAGAUAAACCUAGAAGUGGACCUUUC
Molecule: long non-coding RNA, 1296 nt
Organism: Chinchilla lanigera (long-tailed chinchilla)
Lineage: Eukaryota; Metazoa; Chordata; Mammalia; Rodentia; Chinchillidae
Exons: 2
Source: RefSeq, a predicted model, not a curated record